UACGUAGGCAGCGAGCGUUGUUCGGAGUUACUGGGCGUAAAGAGUGCGUAGGCGGCUUUCUAAGUUUGGUGUGAAAUCUCCCGGCUUAACUGGGAGGGUGCGCCGAAGACUGGAAGGCUUGAGUAUGGGAGAGGUAAGCGGAAUUCCUGGUGUAGCGGUGAAAUGCGUAGAUAUCAGGAGGAACACCUGCGGUGUAGACGGCUUACUGGACCAUCACUGACGCUGAGGCACGAAAGCGUGGGUAGCAAACAGG
Molecule: ribosomal RNA, 253 nt
Filed under: uncultured bacterium
Lineage: Bacteria
Description: partial 16S ribosomal RNA
Rfam family: Bacterial small subunit ribosomal RNA
Source: RNAcentral